Molecule: long non-coding RNA, 426 nt
Filed under: Bos taurus (domestic cattle)
Lineage: Eukaryota; Metazoa; Chordata; Mammalia; Artiodactyla; Bovidae
Description: long non-coding RNA NONBTAT000620
Source: RNAcentral
AAUCCCCACAUCUUGCAAAUGUAAUGAGAGUGGGAUUAAGUUGACGAAACAAGCUUUCUGUUAGCUUCAGGAGUCAGCAGCAUUUGGUCAUUUUUAUUGCAGGGCUGUUGUCCUUAGUUGUCCCAGCUCCUUCCACAAAGAGGCCCCACCUACUUUUCUCCUGAUGGGUACUCUACUCUGGAGCACAGGGGUUAACCAGUGAGAAUCCUACACACGUGAGAAGUGUGGUCACUUCAGAUCAAGGCGAGAAUUCACCCUGCAUUUGAAUUAAGAGGUUGGCAACCUAGUACAAUCACAAAUUGUCCCACAUCACCUUACUACAUAGAGUCCAAAAUACCUAUUGAAACGAGCAACUGCAAUCCCUCCCCCUGCCAAAAAUAACAAAAGAUAGAAUUCACCCAAUGGAUGCCUUUGAUCCAUUAAAAA